CGUAGCAACUCCCUCAUCUGUGGGGACAAUUCAGAUUGUUUCAAAACUGAGGGUAGCUACUUCUGUUUGUGUCAUCCUGGGUUUGAUGACUUUACUGGUGCCGCGCGACAAUGCUUGGACAUAGAGGAGUGUAAUAGAGACGGAGUAUGUGGAAUGGGGGAAUCUGCCAAAACCUGAUUGGCAGUUACUGGUGCCAGUGUCUUGCUGGAUUUACUAACUUUGGCAAAAACCAAACUAAGUGUGUAGGUGAGAGACAAGCACCAUUCCACCUGUUGUCCAUGAUGUACUCCUUUAUCAUGCACAGGUCUGUACAUAGUGUACUGUAGAAGGGUAUUGAGAUAACACUGUAUGUCUCCAUGUUUUAACUUUAGAGCUUAUUUGUGACCAGUAUGAAACACAGGCUGGACAGGUAAAGCUUUACUUUAGAAUUAUUACGUUAUUAAUUGAGAAAAGGGUAUUUUUCCUUGAUCUUGAAUGUCUUAUGCAUUUUCCCACUAAUGCACAUUCAAGUUUUCAUAACAAUCGGAAAUCGGUAUUUUUGGACACUGAUUUUUUUACACCUUUAUUUAUCCGUUAUUUAACUAGGCAAGUCAGUUAAGAACACAUUGUUAUUUUCAAUGAUGGUUUAGGAACGGUGGGUUAACUGCCUUGUUCAGGGGCAGAACUACAGAUUUUUACCUUGUCAGCUCGGGGAUUCAAUCUUGCAACCUUACAGUUAACUAGUCCAACGCUCUAACCACCUGAUUACAUUGCACUCCACGAGGAGACUGCGUGUUACACGAAUGCAGUAAGAAGCCACGGUGGCGAAUCGCAUCUCUGCAUGUCUGGCAGACAUAUCAGUGUGGAUGACGGAUCACCACCUCAAGCUGAACCUCGGCAAGACGGAGCUGCUCUUCCU
Molecule: long non-coding RNA, 898 nt
Organism: Oncorhynchus nerka (sockeye salmon)
Lineage: Eukaryota; Metazoa; Chordata; Actinopteri; Salmoniformes; Salmonidae
Exons: 3
Source: RefSeq, a predicted model, not a curated record